UUGUUGCGGUUAAAAAGCUCGUAGUUGGAUUUCUGUUGAGGAUGACCGGUCCGCUCUUUGAGCGCGUAUCUGGUUCAGCCUUGGCAUCCUCUUGGGGAACGCUACUGCGCUUGAUUGCAUGGGGCGGUAUUCAAGACUUUUACUUUGAGGAAAUUAGAGUGUUCACUGCAAGCGUUAGCAAUUGAAUACAUUAGCAUGGAAUAAUAAUAUAGGACCUUGGUACUAUUUUGUUGGUUUCUAGAACUAAGGUAAUGAUUAAUAGGGACAAUUGGGGGCAUUCGUAUUAACGCGUCAGAGGUGGAAUUCUUAGAUUGCGUUACGACGAACUACUGCGAAAGCAUUUGCCAAGGAUGUUUUCAUUGAUCAAGAACGAAAGUAUGGGGAUCGAAGACGCUUAAAUACCGUCGUAGUCUAUACCAUAAACUAUGCCAACUAGAGAUUGGAGGU
RNAcentral lists this ribosomal RNA (447 nucleotides) under uncultured marine eukaryote. Its description in RNAcentral is "SSU rRNA". It matches the Rfam family "Eukaryotic small subunit ribosomal RNA", at positions 610 to 1060 of the family's 1831-position model. The record is from RNAcentral.